RNAcentral lists this transfer RNA (66 nucleotides) under Rhodnius pictipes. RNAcentral's name for it is "tRNA-Phe". Lineage: Eukaryota; Metazoa; Arthropoda; Insecta; Hemiptera; Reduviidae. The record is from RNAcentral.
AUUUAGAUAGCUUAAAUUUAAAGCAAAGUAUUGAAGAUACUUGGAUAAGAAUUUUCUUUUUAAAUA